This 429-nucleotide ribosomal RNA is filed under the name Pseudomonadota bacterium. RNAcentral's name for it is "Proteobacteria bacterium partial 16S ribosomal RNA". It matches the Rfam family "Bacterial small subunit ribosomal RNA", at positions 355 to 776 of the family's 1533-position model. The record is from RNAcentral. Lineage: Bacteria; Pseudomonadati; Pseudomonadota.
UGGGGAAUAUUGGACAAUGGGCGAAAGCCUGAUCCAGCCAUGCCGCGUGUGUGAAGAGGGUCUUCGGAUUGUAAAGCACUUUAAGUUGGGAGGAAGGGCAGUAAGCGAAUACCUUGCUGUUUUGACGUUACCGACAGAAUAAGCACCGGCUAACUCUGUGCCAGCAGCCGCGGUAAUACAGAGGGUGCAAGCGUUAAUCGGAAUUACUGGGCGUAAAGCGCGCGUAGGUGGUUCGUUAAGUUGAAUGUGAAAGCCCCGGGCUCAACCUGGGAACUGCAUCCAAAACUGGCGAGCUAGAGUAGGGCAGAGGGUGGUGGAAUUUCCUGUGUAGCGAUGAAAUGCGUAGAUAUAGGAAGGAACACCAGUGGCGAAGGCGACCACCUGGGCUCAUACUGACACUGAGGUGCGAAAGCGUGGGGAGCAAACAGG